CAGUAGCCGCGGUAAUACGUAGGUGGCAAGCGUUGUCCGGAAUUAUUGGGCGUAAAGGGCUCGCAGGCGGUUUCUUAAGUCUGAUGUGAAAGCCCCCGGCUCAACCGGGGAGGGUCAUUGGAAACUGGGAAACUUGAGUGCAGAAGAGGAGAGUGGAAUUCCACGUGUAGCGGCGAAAUGCGUAGAGAUGUGGAGGAACACCAGUGGCGAAGGCGACUCUCUGGUCUGUAACUGACGCUGAGGAGCGAAAGCGUGGGGAGCGAACAGGAUUAGAUACCCCCGUAGUCCCUGUCUCUUAUAC
This 301-nucleotide ribosomal RNA is filed under the name uncultured bacterium. Its description in RNAcentral is "partial 16S ribosomal RNA". It matches the Rfam family "Bacterial small subunit ribosomal RNA", at positions 509 to 807 of the family's 1533-position model. The record is from RNAcentral.